CACCCAAGUACUGUAAAAAAUAAAUAAGAAAGCUAUUGAUCAUUGAUCAGUGAAUGAGCCAAGUUCACAGUUCAUUUACUUUCCAUGGGCAAUUUCUGAUGGACUGGAGAGCGACAUUUAACAAGAUACCUCAAACAAGAAAGUUACACAACUAACACUUUUCUCAAUAGUGUAAAAAAAAAUUUACUUACCUUUUGCAGUUGCUGAUGAGGACCGAAGAGGCAAGGACUGAGAACUGAGAAAGACUGAGGACUGAGGAAGACAGAGGAUUGAGGACAACCAAGUUGCUGACGGCGCGGAGAGCCGAUGGACUGGAGAGCGACGGCCGAAGAUUGCGUGGAGAGCGACGACUGACGAUUGUGUGGAGACUGGAGAGAGAGACUAGAGAGCGACAGUGAGGUGAGGAGGAGUCGGCGACUCAGCGUUGCAAGUGAAGAUCGAUGACCCGAGUUAGCCACGGUGGUUAAUCGGUCGAUGUCGGGAGGAGAGUGGAGGUUAGACAGUGGACAGUGGACCCGCUGGAAGUGGUGGAGCUCAGUGCUCAGAGAAGAGGCACAGGCAUGUGUGACGUGAGGGUGAGGCGGCGUGGAAUUGAGAUUACAGAUUAGCGUCUCUA
This 616-nucleotide long non-coding RNA is filed under the name Manihot esculenta (cassava). RNAcentral's name for it is "long non-coding RNA (MESC_LNC009105)". Lineage: Eukaryota; Viridiplantae; Streptophyta; Magnoliopsida; Malpighiales; Euphorbiaceae. The record is from RNAcentral.